RNAcentral lists this ribosomal RNA (497 nucleotides) under uncultured bacterium. RNAcentral describes it as "partial 16S ribosomal RNA". It matches the Rfam family "Bacterial small subunit ribosomal RNA", at positions 28 to 507 of the family's 1533-position model. The record is from RNAcentral.
GAUGAACGCUGGCGGCGUGCCUAAUACAUGCCAGUCGAGCGAACAGACGAGGAGCUUGCUCCUCUGACGUUAGCGGCGGACGGGUGAGUAACACGUGGAUAACCUACCUAUAAGACUGGGAUAACUUCGGGAAACCGGAGCUAAUACCGGAUAAUAUAUUGAACCGCAUGGUUCAAUAGUGAAAGACGGUUUUGCUGUCACUUAUAGAUGGAUCCGCGCCGCAUUAGCUAGUUGGUAAGGUAACGGCUUACCAAGGCAACGAUGCGUAGCCGACCUGAGAGGGUGAUCGGCCACACUGGAACUGAGACACGGUCCAGACUCCUACGGGAGGCAGCAGUAGGGAAUCUUCCGCAAUGGGCGAAAGCUUGACGGAGCAACGCCGCGUGAGUGAUGAAGGUCUUCGGAUCGUAAAACUCUGUUAUUAGGGAAGAACAAAUGAGUAAGUAACUAUGCACGUCUUGACGGUACCUAAUCAGAAAGCCACGGCUAACUACGUG